This 1003-nucleotide ribosomal RNA is filed under the name Alternaria cf. alternata. RNAcentral's name for it is "SSU rRNA". It matches the Rfam family "Eukaryotic small subunit ribosomal RNA", at positions 84 to 1096 of the family's 1831-position model. The record is from RNAcentral. Lineage: Eukaryota; Fungi; Ascomycota; Dothideomycetes; Pleosporales; Pleosporaceae.
AAACUGCGAAUGGCUCAUUAAAUCAGUUAUCGUUUAUUUGAUAAUACCUUACUACUUGGAUAACCGUGGUAAUUCUAGAGCUAAUACAUGCUGAAAAUCCCGACUUCGGAAGGGAUGUGUUUAUUAGAUAAAAAACCAAUGCCCUUCGGGGCUUUUUGGUGAUUCAUGAUAACUUUACGGAUCGCAUAGCCUUGCGCUGGCGACGGUUCAUUCAAAUUUCUGCCCUAUCAACUUUCGAUGGUAAGGUAUUGGCUUACCAUGGUUUCAACGGGUAACGGGGAAUUAGGGUUCGAUUCCGGAGAGGGAGCCUGAGAAACGGCUACCACAUCCAAGGAAGGCAGCAGGCGCGCAAAUUACCCAAUCCCGACACGGGGAGGUAGUGACAAUAAAUACUGAUACAGGGCUCUUUUGGGUCUUGUAAUUGGAAUGAGUACAAUUUAAACCUCUUAACGAGGAACAAUUGGAGGGCAAGUCUGGUGCCAGCAGCCGCGGUAAUUCCAGCUCCAAUAGCGUAUAUUAAAGUUGUUGCAGUUAAAAAGCUCGUAGUUGAAACUUGGGCCUGGCUGGCGGGUCCGCCUCACCGCGUGCACUCGUCCGGCCGGGCCUUCCUUCUGAAGAACCUCAUGCCCUUCACUGGGCGUGCUGGGGAAUCAGGACUUUUACUUUGAAAAAAUUAGAGUGUUCAAAGCAGGCCUUUGCUCGAAUACGUUAGCAUGGAAUAAUAAAAUAGGGCGUGCGUUUCUAUUUUGUUGGUUUCUAGAGACGCCGCAAUGAUUAACAGGAACAGUCGGGGGCAUCAGUAUUCAGUUGUCAGAGGUGAAAUUCUUGGAUUUACUGAAGACUAACUACUGCGAAAGCAUUUGCCAAGGAUGUUUUCAUUAAUCAGUGAACGAAAGUUAGGGGAUCGAAGACGAUCAGAUACCGUCGUAGUCUUAACCGUAAACUAUGCCGACUAGGGAUCGGGCGAUGUUCUUUUUCUGACUCGCUCGGCACCUUACGAGAA